GCGUGGGAAAUCGCGGGCGGCUCCCCUAUAGGAAGGAGAAGGAAGCAUGGCCAGCGGAGGAGAGCGCUCAUAGGUGGCGAGGCACCUACCUGAUGUGUCACCCACAGCCGCUGUCCGCCUCAGCACCGCCGCCGAGCCUCCACUAGAAACAAGUACAGCAUCGCUUCAUCCCGUCUCACCGAGCUCUUCCCGGCACCGACCCAGGAUGGAGUCCCCGGUUCUGCUGGCGUGUCUGCUGCUCCUGACAGGUCUACAUGUUAAAGCUCAAACAACAACGAGUUUUACAUCUGCACAGGACACAUAUUUAUCAUCAAAAGCAUCUGUAUCUGAAGAAAGUACCACAUCGAAAAACACUGAGAGUGUGAUGACUUCUAUCAAAGUGUCUACUACUGUCAACACAAGCAAUUCAUUAGAAUCAAUUCAUACAACGGCAACCCCUACACCUGACUCAGUUCAGACAAAGGCAACCCCUACACCUGACUCAGUUCAGACAAAGGCAACCCCUACACCUGACUCAGUUCAGACAAAGGCAACCCCUACACCUGACUCAGUUCAGACAAAGGCAACCCCUACACCUGACUCAGUUCGGACAGCAACAACCCCUACACCUGACUCAGCUCAAACAGCAGCAUCCAAUUCAACUGGCUCAGCUCCGACAACAGCAAUCUCUACAAAUACCAAUGCGGUAUCAGUAAAUCUGAACACAACUAUAUCAUCCAGUACAACAAUAUCAUCAAAUACAACCAGUGGACCAUCCACAUCAAAUUCAUCCACAUAUACAAAUGUCCCAACAAAGCCCAGCACAAACACAACAAGUAAAGGCCAGACAGAAAAAGUAAGCACUGUUCAAAUGGGAAGUACAAUGUCUACUAUUACUGCGGAGGGUGUUUCUUCUUCUUCCAAGGCAGCCACUCAAGGGACUUCAGCAUCUUCUGGGACAAUUCUUUCUCCAAACAUUAGCCCAAUAGUUAGUACUGAAUUAAUACCUUCAAUCAAAACUGAUGAUCCAUCCACAACUCAUGCAGCAACUGAACGUGGCUCUGAGCUUCCAAGGGCAUUAAGUCCAGGAAGUGUUGCUGCCAUUACUAUAAUAGUAAUUAUCCUUGUCCUGUUAAUAUUUGGAGGAGCAGCAUACUGGAAGAUUAGGCGUUCAUCAUAUGGAAGACUACUUGAAGACCAAGAUUACGGGUCUCUAGGAAACUACAACAAUCCACUGUAUGAUGACUCAUAAGGAAAAGAUUCCAUGCUGAAGAAGAACAAAACGUUGUCUUUGCUCUUAUUGUUGUGAAGAGUCAGAGCAAAAAUUCUAAGUUACCUUUAAAUCCUCAGGCUCGCUAAAAUGAUCUAUCACAUUGUAUCUGCUGUGUAAUGAACAAAGUCCUGAACUGAAAACCAAAGUAUCCAUUUCUGCUCCAUCCUGUGUAUUCAUCAUUCAUCAUACAGCUCAGAUCCCGGAUUAUAGAAAUCACAUAGAGUAUGAUUCCUCCUUCUUUUUCAUAAGCCAAUAUCUUAUAGCCUUAUUUAAGAAAAAAAAGAAAGAAAUCUAUAUUUUUUAAUGAAAUAGCGGUUUUGCACAUGUGAAAUGAUCCUGGCUUGUAAUGAGUUCUUUUAUGGAAUAUUGACAUUUGUAAAGCACUUUGUAAGAAAUCCAAAGAAGUGCACCAUGUACACCUGAUGUACAUCUGUUAUAUAGACUGUACUUACGGUUAGUACAGUACUUACGGUUUGUAUUCGUCACUUAUUAUGCAGAAAGGUUGCAUCAUAGCACAUUAACAUGAAGUGUGGUGCACAUAGAGAUUGAUAUACACAGGGGUAUAACGUACAUAUGUUGCACUAGGUUCAGCAGUUUAGGUCAGAGGCGUCUUGCCCGACCUCUUCAAUGAUGUUAGUAUUUGAUUUGUUUUUCAAAGUUUCUGUAUUUUCUAUUCUGCAAGCCUAAUCUUCUUUCCUAUUUAUAUACAGGGUGCAGUACACCAUUUAUCUUCUAUGUCCCUCUGAAUGAUUCUAUAAUACAACCAUCUAAAUAGAAGUAGUCACAGGAAGUUCUAUCUGCUAUAUCAGUGGUCCACAGUUUGGAGACCACUGUGCAAUAUUCUGCCUUCCCAUGCUGCGCAGGUUUGUUUUAGGUACAUUCUACUCAAACAAGGUCCUUGAACAUGAAAGGAAGCUUGUGGAAGACAUUGUGUAACCAAUGACAAUAGACUUAAAGGGGUACUCCGCCCCUGGCAUCUU
Hyla sarda is the source of this 2232-nucleotide RNA transcript. It is a transcript of the gene named prostate androgen-regulated mucin-like protein 1, with no coding region annotated. The transcript has 5 exons. Lineage: Eukaryota; Metazoa; Chordata; Amphibia; Anura; Hylidae. The record is from RefSeq and is a predicted model, not a curated record.